AAAAAAAAAAACACCAUUCUAUGUCCACAGAUUGAGUAAUAUGAUCUUAUGCAAACUGUAAAUUCUAAUAGGAUUGAUUUACCGAAAACCUGUAGAGCUGCUCAUUAGUUAUGGAUUGAGCAAUUUGCAGCAAAUCGAUGCUUUAAACUGUCUGUCUUGUAAAAUCAUUAGCUUGCUGCAGUAUCUUACUGAAGUAGUGGAAAAUAAGUGACCCCAUUAUUCCAUAGCUAUGUAUGGUUGGGAUUUAAAAAACGAUUUUACAUGAGGAAAAUGUUCCCUUUUGCUUUAGUGAAUGCCAGCUGGAAUUCCUGUCUGACUGUAUUCUAUAAAACAUUAUGGCCUAUUUCUUCUGUACCCCAACCCACCUAUGAGUGGCACAAGAGAAAGUAACAACAUACACAACUGUCAGCUCUCUUUUGUGCUCAUAAUUCUCCCUUAUUUCUUCUUCCUGAAGCCAUUAAUGUUAAGAAAGGGUUUUAUAAAGUAGAACAAGAACAAAUAAAACCUAUCUGGAACCAAAAGAAGUGAAAACAAAACCUAAACUCUUAAGAGGUUGAGAGAGUACUUUAGUUUGUUACGGUAACACAGCAUAUUUUUCUUAAACACUGUUUAAAAAGGGAAAAGAAAAAAAAAAAAAAAAGAAAAGCUAUGUACAAUGUGUUAAUAAGUCUGUGUGGUGUGGUUUUUUGUCCCCUUUCCUUAAUUAUUGUUGCAUCUUCAAAUGCUCUGCAUACCAAACGAUGCAGCACUUACUAGGAUAACUAACUGCUCUAAUGCGUAAAAAAACAAAAUGGCAUGCAAGUGAAUGCUGCCUAGUGGCUUGUCUGUUGGUUGUUUUUUUUUUUUUCUAGAAAUACUUCAUUUUCUUUACAAUUUCAUCAUUAACUUUUGCUUUUGUAAUUUGCUGUUUAAAAUGAGCUACAUUCUCUUUUCCUGUCUCCCAGAGAAGCAAGCAGUGUUGCCACAACAGGACCUUCCUGAACACUCAUCUAUGGUAGAUGAUAUUGCAAAGGGUAAUUUGGAAUAAUCUUGAGUGUAUCCACCUCCCUCAAUACUAAAUUUUUAUCAGCUCCUGAAUGCCUUGGAAUAUAGAGAAUAUAUGGUGGGUUUGGGGGUUCUUUUAAUUACAGUUUCUGCAUCUGAUAGUGGCAGGGAAAGAUUGACAGCAAGUAGACCUUGUAGUUUAAUAACUAGAAAGUAAAUGAAAAAAACUCUAAACUAAAUUUAAAAUUUGAGAUCUUCAUGCUCUUUUUUGUUGAUUGUUAAGACUGGCAAUAUAGAUGUUUUCUUAUAUAAGCAGUCUUGUUUCAUUAGUUUUCUGGUCUCUCACAUGUAUUAAAUUUACAAGAAUAUCUGCAGAAUCAAGCCCACAUACAUACAAUUUAUCUGCAAGAAUACAGAUUGUAAAAUCAGCCAAAAUUUGUUUAAUAAUAAAAUAAUUUUAAAAUUUCUGAAUAUCUUGAACAGAAAUUUUAUGUUAGAUCACUUUCUAGCAUCCUAGUAUCCUAAAUGACUUCCUAGCAUUAAUUUUUGUUAGUGACAUGAAGCAGGCUCUUCAUGAUCCUUGUUAUCAGCAUAUAUCAGCAAAGCUUUCUGCUCAGAAGAAAAAUAAGAUUUAAAAUUAGAAGUAGAUAUUUAAAAGUCAAUUUCAGAUUUAAAACUUCACUUAAAUUAUUUUUUAAAUUUCUGUUAUUCCUGAUUAUUAUUAUUAUUAUUAUUGUUAUCGCAGCAAACAUUUGGGCAACUUGAAAACAGCAAUUUACAACCUUACUGACAGCCUUUAAUUCUUUUAUAUGCUCAUGUCAUCAUCAGUGUGUUUCUCCAUCUAAUAGAUUUUUAUCUUUUUGUUACUGGAAGCAAAGCUUUUCAGGUCAUGCUGGUACAUUACACAAGACGCAAACAAAGUAUUUUCUCUAUUGUAAAUAAACCUACAUUUUUAAACCUAAGUAAAGUAAUACAGGCAUGUAUGUGUUAUCACUAAGAUUCUGUUUGCAACAACAUAUCAGCAGACUAAAAUGUAUCACUGUACUUAUUUUAGAUUACUCAUUGGAGUGCAUUAUGCAUUUUCAUUCAAAUAAACAGAAAAAUCCUUUUCGCAAAAUGUUAGUGAGAAUGAGAUACUUCUCCACAAAAUGAAGAUUAGAAUUAGCAUAUUUGUAUAGAAGCUAACAGCAAUGGCUUCAUGAGCAAAAGCCUAUUAGUAGAAUAACAGAAAUAUCACUUUUUCUGAAAUAUUUUUAAUUAUAUUGCCUCCCCUCCAUGAAUUAUUUUUUGAUGUAAACUACUUGCUUAAAAUCAAACCAGAACAUAUACAUACAUGCAUACAUACAAGCCCCUGCCUUUUUUCCCCUAACCAAAAGCUAAAAAUCUCUCCUUUCCUGUCUGAAAAAAAGAUUUUAUGCUGCAAACUCUGAAACGGCAACUGCAGUAUCUAGUUCUUUAAGAUGUAAUGUUUAUCCUUAGCCCAGUUGCAGGGUUGAGCUAUGAAGGCACAUAAAUAAGGGUGCCUUUUCUGCAGUAGCAAUAAAAAGUGCAUCCAAAAAAAACAUCUCUGAAGGGGAACCUGUAGUAAAUGACAUCAGGAAUCUGUGAUGUCAGAGGUUUAAAAUGACAUCACGUCAAUGAAUGCCUCUAAAUUUUUUUAAUUCUUAACUAAAACUGGGAAAUCCAAAUUCGAGAUAGUGAUACACUGUGUUACCUGAAUUAAUAUAACUGAGUUAUUGCUUUUUGUAAUCAAUAGUUCAUGUUUCUUUUUCACUUCUACCACCUCCAUAGGUAUUUUAUUUUUGCAAGUAAACCUUAAAAUGCACAGUUGUUGAGAUUAAUCUCAAUAUUUACUGCAUUGGCUGACACCAGUUCAAAUUAGAAGUAGACAUGUAGGGUUCAUUACAUCUUUAACACUAAUUGAAAUAAAAUGUUGUUAUUUGUUCAUUCAAACAGGCGAUAGUAUCCUGCAGUGGUAGCUCGACUUCUUUUUAACUGACGAUCUCCCUCACCAAGGGCUAAUGGGAAGGUGCAGUUGAUUUCCCUUUCUGGUGUGUUGCAGUGCUGGGCUUGCUGUGAGCAUAUGCACCAUCCUUACUUCAUUCAGGAAGAAAAUGGGACUCAGAAAGACUCAGAGAGUUAUAAAGUUCCUUUAGCGGGGAUAAAAUCCACUGUCUCUAUUGCAGAAGCUGUUCUGCCUGACCCUAAGCCGAAAAACAUGCCAUAGGACAUUAGUAGCCCCAGGUUAAGGCUGGUCAGAGGGUAGUUCAGCAGCUCUUACUUGACUUUUGAGCCCUGCACCUAGUUUGUGUCUCAGCUGUCUCUUUCCCUGACCUGUAAGCUGAGAGGCAGCUCUAAUGCUUUUACUUGGUGGGGAUCCCAGCAGGUUGGGAUACAACACUUCCUCCUCUGGAAAUUUUGGUGCCAGCACAUGCACCACCCCAUUCAUCUCCACCACCAUCCAUGCUUAGCGGAAGAUGAGAAUGAAAGGCUUCACUGAGGUGACAGCAGGUAAGGUCUGGUGUGCAGGACCCAUGGGGAGCUGCUGUUGGUAUCCUGAAAUAUACAUUAUAAUACCAAAGUUAAGGAUGUUUGCAAAAGCAUAUGGAUACUUAGGGAGAGGAAUUUAAACUGUGAGAACAUCUCCAGGGCUUCAAAACAGUCUCCUGUCCCCUUAAUUCACACAUGCUGACUAGAUUAAAUAUCUCAAUACCAGUAUAUUCCCACCAUUUUUUGUGGGCUUAUUGAAAAUGACAAUAAAGUCUCAUAGCAAAAUGUAAUUUCCAUAUAAACAAUUUCCAGGAAUCUAGCAGUAGGCAAAGGACCUAAAUGCUAAAAAUCUUGGUGUCUGACAUUAUGACUAGCAUCCUAAUUUUGGGGGGCAAAUUUGCUUCACCUCUAUGGAAUGUAGCUGGAUAUAUGCUGUAUACUAUUUCCGCACUAGUCUUUAAAAGCACCAAUAGGUUAACAGCAAGAGACCAUCUCAUCUGGCAGAAAAAUAAAGGUGUCACAGCUUGUAAAGGGUGUUUUAAAUAUACUUAGAUAUUUGGGGCUUGAUCAAAUCCUGGUGUUGACAAAAAACAAUUUCAUGAAAUAAAAUUUUUGAAAAUAUUGACAGUUGACAAACUGAGAAGUAACAGUGAUAUGAGCAGAAUUUUGAAACAAACAUACACAAAUUGAUACAUUAUAUUGCAUAUAUAUAUAUAUAUAUAAUAGUUUGUAUACAUACAAAUUGAGUAACAUUGUAUGUAUUUGUAUAUAUAUAGAGAAAUAUAUAUUAACUAGAUUGGAAAUACAUCUCUUGUUUUAUGCAGCUGCCCAGAUUCAGGCAGCACAUCUAGAGUUGCUCUGAGACUAUCUGGAAAUGCUGGAAUCAAAGGUAUAUAGCAUCUGCGCCCUUAAAACGGGCCAAUUUAUGGCUUUUUAAGAUCUCUCUCAGAUGCUAGUCAUCUUGCUGGCUAGCUGGAAAUCACAGACAAAUGGCCAGUGGGCUCUGUUUCUGCCCUGAUAAAAUUAUUGAACAAAGAAGUGGAAAUAUUUGGGGAAACCUGGAUGUGCAGUAGCCUCAUCUUGAUAUGUCACUUUUUUGACCAUAAACCUUGGGAUUAAUGCACCUCUGGAUGAUCACUGUAACUGCUGACCUUUACUUAAUAUCUGCUUAAGGCAGUUCUCAUACACCAGUUGGGCAAAUGUAAGGAGGAGAUAGAAAUAAAAUUUUAAAAGGACAGUUGAAGAUCUUUGAAAUGACUAAAGAUAUUACUGUUAAUUGUACGUAACAUUGCAGUAUAUAAAUAUGAUCUUCCUUUUGUUUCAGCCAGCAUCACCAACCAUAUAAUGUUAGCUUUGGUCAUGUCACAUCCUCACUGCCCACAGAGCCUGUAAUCCUCAUAGUGUAAAAGUUCCACUCCAAACAGCCAUAAGAACGACAGCCACCCUUGUCUCUCAGAGAUCUAGGUGAUGCCAAAAAAAACAACACUCCCAUGCUUAUGAUGUCCCAACCAUGCAACACUUUGCAAUAUAAUAUAAAUACUGUCUACAGCACUCAGAAGCAAACAGUGAUCUUUGUACAUUUGGGUCAAAUGCUUUU
This is a long non-coding RNA of Athene cunicularia (burrowing owl), 5071 nucleotides long. RefSeq lists it as uncharacterized. The transcript is spliced from 2 exons. The record is from RefSeq and is a predicted model, not a curated record. NCBI's taxonomy places the organism in Eukaryota, Metazoa, Chordata, Aves, Strigiformes, Strigidae.